Long non-coding RNA from Pezoporus occidentalis (night parrot), 1223 nucleotides. RefSeq lists it as uncharacterized. The transcript has 2 exons. The record is from RefSeq and is a predicted model, not a curated record. Lineage: Eukaryota; Metazoa; Chordata; Aves; Psittaciformes; Psittacidae.
AGGCACUGGAAUGGGUUCCCCAAGGAAGCUGUGAAUGCUCCAUCCCUGGCGGUGUUCAAGGCCAGGUUGGACAGAGCCUUGGGUGACAUGGUUUAGUGUGGGGUGUCCCUGCCCAUGGCAGGGGGGUUGGAAUGACAUCAUCCUCAGGUCCUUCCCCACCCUAACUAUUCUAUGAUUCUAAAGGCCUCUGUGCACAGAUUAAAACAGGACUGGCUAAUACUUCUUGUAAGUCAGAAGAGGACAUUUUCCCCCUGAAGUUUCCCUAAGCAGUAAAGGAUUCAUAUUAAUGUGCACAUGUAGCAGUGGGGAAUGUUAUUUGAUUACUGCAGAACUGGUCAUUUACAAAUCGUCUCCUCACAUUUCAGGCAGCAUGCUCCAUCUCUGCUGGUGAGAGAAAUCAAUUCGUUCCAAGUGAUGGGCCUGAAUGACAUGUUAAAGCGCUGCAAUGGUGCAAAGAUCGAGUUGUGCUCCUCAACCACAUGAUGUGUCUGAAACUGAGGGUGAAGCAACCACUUUACAGAUGCAAACUCUGUGCCUCCAAUACUGUGAAGGUUAAAUGCACAAUGUGCCCAGCAACAGACUCAACCUGCUCACAGCACUGGAAAACAGUCCAGGUUUCCACCACAUUUGCUGGUGAAAGUGAUGUCAAAAGCCAGAGGUGCGAUGUUCUUUCUGUCACACCACUGCUAAACUGUGCUCCAGACUUGAGCACAAGUUGAGGAAUUAGAGUGCAUCGCUUGCUCUUCCUGUUUAAUUUGGCACUUGACAUAUUUUUAAGCUGUGUUUGUAGGUGGUAUACAAGACAGUCAUGACAGCACUUUGACCUACUUGUGUAUUACAAAGCUAGACCGCAGCUUAAUGCAAUAUUUAUUUUAAAAGAAAAAAAAAAUAGGUGAUUUGAAAGUAACUGCAGCAACAUACUACCUCUGACAUACAGCUUGCCAAAAAGAAACACGGACGCCUUCUGUGGAAGGUGCUUGUUCUAGCCCCCCGCCCAGCCACCUCACACAUGCCUCACAACCAGAACUGUACACAGCUACCAGCUCCCUGACCCCACCUAACUUGCCAGCGUGCCAAAGAGUCAGCUUUGAUUACCAUCAGCACUGCCAAUCUGGUGACACGCGAGGCCCCAUUGUAGUGGCACUGUACAAACACCUGCUGCUCCAGAGGGCUUAACUUCUAAAUACAUCAUGCAUACAACAAGGACGUAUAUUUUUAAUGAA